AGUCACUGACAUUAGAUACCCGUGUAGUCCAGGGUGUAAACGCUGCAGACUUGGUGUUGGAGGCCCUUUGGGGGCAUUCAGUGCCGGAGAGAAGUUGUUAAGUCUGCUACGUUGGGAGUACGUCCGCAAGGAUGAAACUUAAAGGAAUUGGCGGGGGAGCACCGCAACGGGAGGAGCGUGCGGUUUAAUUGGAUUCAACACCGUAAAACUCACCAGGGAAGACUGUUACAUGAAAGCCGAGAUGAAGACUCUGCUAGAUUUUCAG
Molecule: ribosomal RNA, 265 nt
Filed under: uncultured archaeon
Lineage: Archaea
Description: partial 16S ribosomal RNA
Rfam family: Archaeal small subunit ribosomal RNA
Source: RNAcentral